GUGAGGAAUAUUGGACAAUGGAUGGAAAUCUGAUCCAGCCAUGCCGCGUGCAGGAAGACGGCCCUAUGGGUUGUAAACUGCUUUUAUACGGGAGCAAUAAGGUCUAUGCAUAGAUUGAUGAGAGUACCGUAUGAAUAAGCAUCGGCUAACUCCGUGCCAGCAGCCGCGGUAAUACGGAGGAUGCGAGCGUUAUCCGGAUUUAUUGGGUUUAAAGGGUGCGUAGGCGGCUUUGUAAGUCAGCGGUGAAAUUGUGCAGCUUAACUGUAAAAGCGCCGUUGAUACUGUGAAGCUAGGAUUUGGUUGCUGUGGGCGGAAUGUGUGGUGUAGCGGUGAAAUGCAUAGAGAUCACACAGAAUAUCGAUUGCGAAGGCAGCUCACAAAGCCAAUAUUGACGCUGAGGCACGAAAGUGUGGGGAUCAAACAGGAUUAGAAACCCCGGUAGUCC
RNAcentral lists this ribosomal RNA (445 nucleotides) under uncultured bacterium. RNAcentral's name for it is "partial 16S ribosomal RNA". It matches the Rfam family "Bacterial small subunit ribosomal RNA", at positions 354 to 796 of the family's 1533-position model. The record is from RNAcentral.